This 774-nucleotide ribosomal RNA is filed under the name uncultured Neocallimastigales. RNAcentral describes it as "partial large subunit ribosomal RNA". It matches the Rfam family "Eukaryotic large subunit ribosomal RNA", at positions 22 to 636 of the family's 3401-position model. Lineage: Eukaryota; Fungi; Neocallimastigomycota; Neocallimastigomycetes; Neocallimastigales. The record is from RNAcentral.
GUACACGCUGUGACUAGCAUAUCAAUAAGCGGAGGAAAAGAAACUAACAAGGAUUCCCCUAGUAACGGCGAGUGAAGCGGGAAGAGCUCAAAUUUGAAAUCUUAAAGGGUUUCCCUUUACGAAUUGUAGUUUAAAGAAGUGUUUUCUGUUGAGGUUUUGGUAAAAGUUCUUUGGAAUAGGACAUCAUAGAGGGUGAGAAUCCCGUAUUUGACCUUUACUUUCAACUUUGUGAUACACUUUCAAAGAGUCGGAUUGUUUGGGAAUGCAGUCCAAAAUGGGUGGUAAAUUUCAUCUAAAGCUAAAUAUUGGCGAGAGACCGAUAGCGAACAAGUACUGUGAGGGAAAGAUGAAAAGAACUUUGAAAAGAGAGUUAAACAGUACGUGAAAUUGUCAAAAGGGAAGCGUUUGACACCAGUGUUGUUUUUCUGAAAAUCAAUUAAAGAACUGUUUAUGCUAAGUUGUUUAGACUUUAUCAGCUAUCUGUUUAGUUUUGAGCUUUUCUUUAAUGCACUUUUCAGUUAACAAGUCAACAUCAAUUUCUUUUGCUGUAAAAAAGCUUGAGGAAGGUGGCUUGAGAUUCGUCUUAAGUGUUUAUAGCCUCUUGCCUAUGCAGUCGGAGAGAUUGAGGUCUGCAGCGUAGAUCCUUCGGGGCUAAAUGCAUUUGUGCUAAGUUAUAGCAUUUUAUAGACAACUUGUUGACUAUGAUUUGUCUUGUAGCUUACUCGCUUAUGUUAUUUUACCUACGCUUAGGAUGUUGAUAUGCAUGACUGAUAU